RNAcentral lists this ribosomal RNA (459 nucleotides) under uncultured bacterium. RNAcentral's name for it is "partial 16S ribosomal RNA". It matches the Rfam family "Bacterial small subunit ribosomal RNA", at positions 338 to 795 of the family's 1533-position model. The record is from RNAcentral.
CCUACGGGAGGCAGCAGUGAGGAAUAUUGGUCAAUGGGCGUAAGCCUGAACCAGCCAAGUCGCGUGAGGGAAGACUGCCCUAUGGGUUGUAAACCUCUUUUGUCCGGGGAUAAAGGUGGCCACGUGUGGAUGUUUGCAGGUACCGCAUGAAUAAGGCACGGCUAAUUCCGUGCCAGCAGCCGCGGUAAUACGGAGGAAGCGAGCGUUAUCCGGAUUUAUUGGGUUAAAAGGGUGCGUAGGCGGAAUAUCAAGUCAGCGGUAAAAAUUCGGGGCUCAACCCCGUCGGGCCGUUGAAACUGAUGUGCUUGAGUGGGCGAGAAGUAUGCGGAAUGCGUGGUGUAGCGGUGAAAUGCAUAGAUAUCACGCAGAACUCCGAUUGCGAAGGCAGCAUACCGGCGCCCAACUGACGCUGAAGCACGAAAGCGUGGGGAUCGAACAGGAUUAGAUACCCCUGUAGUC